Molecule: ribosomal RNA, 422 nt
Filed under: uncultured bacterium
Lineage: Bacteria
Description: bacterial SSU rRNA
Rfam family: Bacterial small subunit ribosomal RNA
Source: RNAcentral
UGAGGAAUAUUGGUCAAUGGACGGAAGUCUGAACCAGCCAAGUCGCGUGAAGGAUGACUGCCCUAUGGGUUGUAAACUUCUUUUGUAUUGGGAGAAUAAGCCUUACGUGUAAGGUGAUGACUGUACAAUACGAAUAAGCAUCGGCUAACCCCGUGCCAGCAGCCGCGGUAAUACGUAGGGGGCAAGCGUUGUCCGGAAUCAUUGGGCGUAAAGCGUUCGUAGGCGGUAUGUCAAGUCUGGUGUUAAAGCCCGAGGCUCAACCUCGGUUUGGCAUUGGAUACUGGCAAACUAGAAUGUGGUAGAGGUAAAGGGAAUUCCUGGUGUAGCGGUGAAAUGCGUAGAGAUUGGGAGGAACACCAGUGGCGAAGGCGACUUACUGGGCUGUAACUGACGCUGAGGCGCGAAAGCGUGGGGAGCGAACA